CGAGCGCUGGGCACACCCGCUGCCCUGCCAGGGCUCCGCUGGGUUCCUCCAGGGCCCUCAGACUUUAGGGCAUGAGGUUCCCUUUCCCGGUUGCCCUGGACUGUGGUCCUCCCGGCCGAGGAAACUGAAGCUGGCCCUGGACUCCCUGAGCAGGACUGGAGCCACCUGUGACCUCUGUUCCAGGUUUUCAGAAGCAGGCUUCUCCAACUUUGCGAUGUACACCAGUCGUGCUGUGAACAGUGAUGGUGGACAUUCCAGCUGCGACUGUGGAUUGUACCUGGUCGACUGUGGAUUGUACUUUGGGCCAAACUAACCAGCCCUGAGGGUGUUCAGGCUAACAUGGCUUCCCCAGAAACAGCAGGUGCGAGAGCCCAUCCGUGUGGGGGUGUGAUUGACCAU
Molecule: long non-coding RNA, 399 nt
Organism: Marmota flaviventris (yellow-bellied marmot)
Lineage: Eukaryota; Metazoa; Chordata; Mammalia; Rodentia; Sciuridae
Source: RefSeq, a predicted model, not a curated record